GGAUUUUUUUUGGAAACCUGUGAUUUUGAAAAUCAUUAAAAGGCGUUCGAAUCGCCUAAAAUCCU
RNAcentral lists this transfer RNA (65 nucleotides) under Sternaspis buzhinskajae. RNAcentral's name for it is "tRNA-Ser". Lineage: Eukaryota; Metazoa; Annelida; Polychaeta; Terebellida; Sternaspidae. The record is from RNAcentral.